UGCCCCAUCCAGGACGGAACACAAACCAUUCACCAUGGAGCUGGAGCUCAGCUGGGUCUUCCUUAUUGCUAUUUUAAAAGGUGUGCAGUGUGAGGUGCGGCUGGUAGAGUCUGGGAGAGGCUUGGUGCAGCCUGGGGGGUCCCUGAGACUCUCCUGUGCAGCCUCCGGAUUCACCUUCAGUGAUUACUACAUGGACUGGAUCCGCCAGGCUCCAGGGAAGGGGCUGGAGUGGGUUGCACGAAUUGAUCCAGGUGGUGGUAGCACACGGUACGCAGACUCUGUGAAGGGCCGGUUCACCCUCUGCAGAGACAACAGUCAAAGCACGCUGUACCUGCAAAUGAGCAGCCUGAGAACCGAGGACACGGCCCUGUAUCACUGUGCAAGCUGGUCCUACUUUGCUUACUGGGGCUCCGGAACCCUGGUCACCGUCUCCUCAGCAAGCCCAUCCCCCCCACGAGUCUUCCCCCUCGUAUCCUGCGAGAGCCCCCUGUCCGAUGAGAGCCUGGUGGCCGUGGGCUGCCUGGCACGGGACUUCCUGCCCAGCUCCAUCUCCUUCUCCUGGAAUUACAAGAACAACACCGCCGUGACACAGGGCGUCACCACAUUCCCAACACUGCAGGCGGGGGCCAAGUACGUGGCCACCUCGCAGGUGCUGCUGCCCUCCAGGGAUGUCCUGGAAGGCACAGACGACUACCUGGUGUGCAAAGUCAAGCAUGGUCAGCAAAACGAAGACCUGCGGGUGCCUCUUCCAGAGGUUGGAAACCAGCCCCCCAAUGUGACCGUGUUCAUCCCACCGCGAGACGCCUUCUCUGGCCCCGGCCCACGCAAGUCCAGUCUUAUCUGCCAGGCCACAGGCUUCAGCCCCAAGCAGAUCACAGUGUCCUGGCUACGAGAUGGACGGCCUGUGACGUCCGGCUUCACCACUGAAGAGGUGAGGGCAGAGGCCAGCGCCGAGUCCAAGCCCCGCACCUUCAGCAUCACCAGCCAGCUGACCAUCACCGAGCUCGAGUGGCUCAGGCAAAGCGUGUUCACCUGCCGUGUGGAUCACCAAGGACUCACGUUUGUGAAGAAUGUGUCAUCCAUGUGCAAUGCUGGUGAGUGACUUUCCCUGAGUCCAGUGCC
Molecule: non-coding RNA, 1122 nt
Organism: Dipodomys ordii (Ord's kangaroo rat)
Lineage: Eukaryota; Metazoa; Chordata; Mammalia; Rodentia; Heteromyidae
Source: the annotation of a RefSeq genome assembly